CAUCCUCGGCUCCCCCCCCGCGCCCCUCAGACGCCGACUAUAAGAGGCCCCGCCCGGGUUUCUCAGUGUGCAGCGGGCCGAGCUUAGAGUCGGGGAAGGAGGCUGGACCUCAAAGUGCCCCCUUCACCCUCGGCGCCAGGAGGUGAGGAGAAGCACCAGUGGAGGAAGGAGGAGGAGGAGGAGACUUACAGGUCCUGACCACCCCUGCACCAACUGGACCAAACUGGCCACGGAGAGCACAGCGGCAGAGGUGACAAGCCAGAUGUUGCCUUUUAGAUACCUCCAGGAGGGAUGCAGUCAAGGGAGCUGCCCCGACGCGGAAGAGGAAGGAGCGAUGGGGGGAUCGAGCCGCCCUGUGGAGACCAGGACACCCUGAGAGAAGAUGGGAGUUGACCAGUCCAUCUGAAAAGAACGGAUAAGUAUCUCCUCACGGACUAACCCAAAGCAAGCCGGAAACAUUGGCUGCUAGUAGCGAAUGAUUUGAACCUAGAGACGUCUCUUGCACGUUUUUCGAUUCCAGAUGAAACGGUCUUUGGACUUUUCCUCACAGAAUAUUUCCCCAAUCCAUUUUCCGGGGAAAGAACUCUGGUCAGGAUGUUGCUUUUACCCCUUAAAAUUCAGUCAGAGGAGAGGCGUGAGGUACGGGGAGCCUUUAGUUAUGAAGAAAUAAUAAGGAAAAUAAAAAGAGAGAUUAAAUAGGUAGCACUGCUAGGAAAUGUAAAAAUAGAGGAAAUAACAGAACCGUACUGUGGAUUUCCAAGGGAAAUUUACCUCACGGUUCCUUAAAAAGAAUGAAUAAAAUGCCUUGAGGCAAGGCUCCCUGAUUUAGGGCAGUUCACUCUCCGGACUAUUGGGAUCGGGUUCAUACUCUAGGUGAGGAGGUUUGGAAUAGUGCAAAAAGAGAUAAGAGCAAAUGCUUACACGGAUCCCUUUCACGCUGUGAUUGGGGAAUGAGGUCUGGAAAAGAAUUCCUGCUCUCCCUACUGAAGACUGUGGUGUGGUCUGUGCUCAAACCCCAGUUGAUAUAUGUUUCAGAGCCUCGACCUGCCUAUUUCUGGAGCACCUCAUCCAGCAGGCAUCCGGACAGUUGCCUUUUAGAUACCUCCUGGAGGGUUGCAGUCCGGGGAGCUGCCCCGACGCGGAAGAGGAAGGAGCGAUGGGGGAUCGAGCCGCCCUGUGGAGACCGGGACACCCUGAGAGAAGAUGGCCUCAUUUCAGAACCUCCAAGUACCCACUUCACCCUCAGCGCGAGGCGGUUAGAAGAAGCACCAGAAGAGGAAGGAGGAGGAGGCGGAGAAGACUUACAGGCCCUGACCACCCCACGCCCACUGGACCUAAUCAUUCACAGAGAGCAUGGCGGCAGCAGUGACAAGCCAGAUGCUGGGGAGAAAUUCCUCUUUUUGGAGAGAAAUGAGUAUAUCCGGGCCCUCGGGGAGACCGCGAGCUUGUUGUGGGUGGGAAAGGUGGACUGUGUUCCGUUUAGGUAUCCCGGAAAUUUGAUUUCACUAAUCCAACUUUUAGAUUUUUUUUUAUCUGGGGGGAGAAAUGAACAAAGGAUUUUAGUCUCUGGAAGGAACCCCAAACCAGGCCAAGAAGCCCCUGGAUGAUUUCUCCUACUCUGCCAUGUCACUGAGUUGCCUUUUAGAUACCUCCUGGAGGGUUGCAGUCCGGGGAGCUGCCCCACGCGGAAGAAGAAGGGAGCAGCGAUGGGGGAUCGAGCCUCCCCGUGUUGACCUGGACACCCGGAGAGAAGAUGGAAAUUGACCUGUCCAUCUGAAAAAAAAAAAUAAGUAUCUCCUCAUAGACUAACCCAAAACAAUCUGGAAAUAUCGGCUCCUAGUAUCAAAUGAUUUGAACCUACAUAGGUUUCUUGCACAUUUUUCUAUUCCAGACCAAACGGUCUUUGGACUUUUCCUCACAGAAUAUUUCUCCAAUCCAUUUUCCGGUGAAAGAACUCUGGUCAGGAUGUUGCUCUUACUCCUUAAAAUUCAGUCAGGACAGGUGAGAGGUACGGGGAGCCUUUAGUUAUGAAGCAAUAAUAAGGAAAAUGAAAAGAGAGAUUAAAUAUGGAGUACUGCUAGGAAAUUUAAAAGUAGGGAAAAAACGGAAGCUUACUGUGAAUUUCCAAGGGAAAUUUACCUCAUAGCUCCUUAAAAAGAAUGAAUAAAAUGUCUUGAGGCAAGGCUCCCUGACUUAGGGCAGUUCACUCUCCGGACUAUUGGGAUUGGGUUAAUACUCCAGGUGAGGAGGUUUGGAAUAGUGCAAGAAGAGAUAAGAGCAAAUGCUUUCACAUCUCUCUCUCAUGCUGUGAUUCUGAAUGAGGUCUGGAAAAGAAUUCCUGCUCUACCUACACUGAAAACAGUGGUGUGGUCUGUGCUCAAACCCCAGGUGAUGUUUUUCAGAGACUCAACCUACCUACUUGUGGGAUCACCCCAUCAAGUCAGCAUCCGGACAGGAUAUUGGAAGGACGAAGCCUGCGGCCAGAGAAGGCUUUCGCCACAGAUCGUGCGGCAAGAGAUGGGAAAAGGGAAAGCCCUUUUAGGCUCCCCUACACUGAUUCUCCCCCCUUCCCACUCCCCACCCCCCCCGUGCUGUGUCCUAAGUCUUUAUGGCUAGGAACGGGGAGGGGGUAAAAAGAAAGUUUUCUCUAUGCACACCGUCUCCUGCUCUUCUGUACCUACCUUAGGUCUUCGUGGCCUGAAAAGGUACUGUGGGAUUUAAAAAAGGAGCAUUUUGCUUUAUGCAACAAACUCUCCUACUUAUUUGUCCACCUGAGGACUUAGAGACCUGCAGAGAAAAUCGAUGAGGAGGGAAAGGAGAAAUCUGCUCUAUAUGCCAUUACAUCUCCUGUUCAUUACUCCACCUCAGGCCUUUAAGGUCUUCUACUGGAGAUGAACUACAGAGUAUUUGAGCUGCCAGAGGCGAAAUCUGCUUCAUGCAAAAAAUCUCCAGCUUUCGUUUUCCUCCUGAAGGGCUUCAAGGCCUUCCCUCAAGUAUAUUUGAGGUGAAGAGAGAGAAAUUUGCUACGUACAAGCAACCUCCAGGUUUAAUUUCUCGAUCUAAUGCCUUCUAUGCCUUAAGAGAGAAGAUUUGCGCUGCCCAGGGAGAAAUCUGACCUCUGGUCUUCAAGGCCAGAAGGUGAGACUAUUGCAGGUUAAAAAGGAGAAUUUUGCCUCAUGCAAAAAAUCUGCUUUCAGUUCUCUCCUUAAGGGUCUUCAGGGCCGCAGGAGAGAAUAUCUGAGGGGCAGAAAGGGAGAAAACUGGCUACUUGCACAUACACCUCCUAAUUUCAGAAUGAAUAAGACACUCUUUGAGAUGGAAAAGGAGCAAUUGGCUUCAUGCAAAAAGCUCCCAACUUGUCUUUCUCGCCCUCUGGUCUUCAAGGCCAGAAGAGAGAAUACUGCAGGUCAAAAAGGAGAAAAUUGCUUCAUGUCAACCAGCUCCAGCUCUUUUCUCUCUACCCAAGGUCUUCAGGACCUCACUGGAGGGUUUUUGAAGUGAAAGGGGAGCAAGUUAGUUUCAUGGACCCGAUCUCCAGUUUCUGUUUCUCGAAGGUCUUCAAGGCCGCAAGAGAGACCCUUUCGAGGCAAAAGGAGAAAUCUGCUUCAUGCGAACAAUUUCUUGCUCUCAAUUUUCUAAACAUAUUUGAAAAGGAGACUUUUGCUUCAUGCAAAAAAACUGUCCUGCUUAUUUGUUCCACCUUUUGGUCUGCAAUGCCUUCCAAGAUAACAUGUGAGGUGAAAAAUGAUCCAUGGGCUUCCUGCAAACAAUCUCCAACUUUUGUUUCGCCAAGGCCGUAAAGGCCUUAGGAGAGAAUGAUUUAGGUGAAAAGGGAGAAACUGGCUUCCUGGAGCAGAUUCAGCUCCCGUUCAGUACUCCUCCUCAGGCCUUUGUGACUUUGAACAGAGAAUGAGUAGAGAAUGUCGGAGGUGCAGAGGGAGGACUUGGCUUCAUGCAGACCACCUCCAGCCGGGAUUUCUCCAUCUGAGGUCUUCACGGCCUUCCAAGAUAAUAUGUGAGGUGAAAAAGGUUCCACUUUUGUGCUUCGUGUACACAAAUGCCAGUUUUUAUUUCUCCAAGGUCUUCAAGGCCUCAAAGGAGAGGAUGUGAGGGGGAAAAGGGAGAAAUUUGCUUCCCACAAAGAGUAUCUUGCUUUCUUCCUCUACCUAAGGUCUUCAAGGCCUGAAGAGAAACUAUAUGGCAUUGGAAAAGGAGAAUUUGGCUUCACGCAGAAACUGUCCUGCUUAUUGGUCACCCCAAGGUCUUCAAGGCCAAAGAGCCUAUAUGAGGUGGAAAAGGGUGGAUUUGCUUCAUGCAAAGCAUCUCCAGCUUUUACGUCUCUCUACCAGGUCUUCAAGGCCCGGAAAGAGACUAGUUGGGGUGAAAAAAGGGAGAAAUCUGUCUCAUGGAGAUAUACUUCCUGUGCCUAUUCCACCCUCAGGCCUUCAAGGCCUAUGGAUUGAGGAGGAAUGGAGACUAUCUUGAGGUGCAAAAGGAGAAAUUUGCUUCAGGCAAACCGUCUCCAGCUUUGAUUUCUCUAGCUCAGGUCUUCAAGGCCAGAAAAGAGAAUCUUUGAGGUGGAAAAGGAGAACUUUGCUUCAUGCCUCCCAUCUUCAGCUUUGAUUUCCCUACCCAAGGUCUUCAAGGCCAGAGAAGAGAAUAGUUUGAGGUGGAAAGGGAGGAACUUUGCUUUAUGCAUACAAUCUCCAGGUUGGAGAUCUCUAAGGUCUUCAAGACCUCCAAAGAAAAUAUUUGAAGCUUAUAAAAGGAGCAGUUUGCGUCAUGAAAACUAUCCCCUGCAUUCUCUUGUUUACCCAAAGUCUUCAAGACUUGAAAAGAGCAUAUCUGAGGUGGCAAAGGAGAAAUCUGCUUCAUGCCAAACCACCUCCAGCUUGGAUUUCUCUCGCGAAGGCCUUCAAGGCCAGAAAAGAGAAUCUUUGAGGUGGCAAAGGAGAAACUUUGCUUCACGCAAACUAUCUCCAGCUUUGAUUUCUCUACCCAAGGUCUUCAAGGCCAGAAAAGACUACUGGAGGUUUCAAAGGAGACAGUGGAUUCAGGCCAGCCACUUGCCCACUUGCAUUUCUCUCCCUUUAUGGUCUUCAAGACCACAGAAGAGAAUAUUUGUGCGCAAAAAGGACAACCUUUCUCCAUGCUUUUGUUUCUCUACUUAAGGGCCAGGAAAACAGUAAUAGAUGGGGUUAAAAAGGGAAAAGUUUGCCUCCUCCAACAACUCACCUCCUCAUGUUUCUGCCUAAGGUCUUCAAGACCUGAAGAGAAAAUGUGUGAACUAGAAAAGGAGAAAUCUCCUGUGCAUUAGUUCACUUCAGGCCUUCAAGGCCGUUGCGAGAGACAAUGAAUAGAAAAUAUCUGAGGUGGAAAAGGAGAUCAAUUUGCUUCACGCAAAGAAUUCUGCCCUUCUUUCUCGACCUAAGGUCUUCAGGGCCUGAAAUGAGAAUAUGGGAAGGCAGAUAGGAGAAGUUUGCUUCAUGCAGACACAUCUCCUGUUCAUUACUCCUCUUGAGGCCUUUUCACAGAGAAUAUUUGAGGUGGAAAUGGAGAAACUUGCUUCAUGUAUUAAAAAAUAAAUAAAAUCUGUCCUUUCUCUACCUAAGGUCUUCAGGGCCUGCAAAGAGAAUACUGGAGGUGAGAACGGAGAAGUCUGCUUCAAGCAGAAACAUCUCCCGUUUAUUACUCCACUGGAGGUCUUAACGGCCUUCCAAGAGUCUGUUUCCCCUGGGGAAAAAAGGAGAAAUUUGCUUCAUGCAAAAAACCAAAAAACCCCCCCUUGUCUUUCUCUGCCUAAGGUCUUCAGGGCCUGAAAGAGAAUCGUUGAGAGGAGAAAGGAGACGUUUGCUUCAUGCAGAAACAUCUCCGGUUUCAUUACUCCACUUGAGGCCUCCAAGGCCUUGUCAUGGAGAGUAUCUGAGGAGACAUUUGCUUCAUGCAAACAGUCUUCUCUUCUUUGGAUCUCUACCUAAGGUCUUCAAGACCUGAAAAGAGAACGUUUGUGUUUGAACGAGAAGUUUUCUGGAUGCAAUGUCUUGCUACGGUUUCUCUAGCCUAGGUCUUCAAGGCCUUGUUCCAGAGGGAACAAAGGAGGAAUUUGCUUCAUGCAGAUAUACUUCUUGGGCAGUACUCCACCUCAGGCGUUCAAGGCCUUUUCACUGACAAUGAAAGAAAGACUGUCUGAGGUACAAAAAAGGAGGAGCCUGCUUCAAGCAAACCAUCCCUAGGUUUCCCUUCUCUGUCGGAGGUCUUCAGGGCCUCAAAAGAGACUACAGGAGGGGAAAAAGGAGAAAUGCGCUUCAUGCAAAAAUCUCCUGCUUAGGUUUCUCUAACUAAGCUGUACAAGGCCAUAAAAGAGAACAUUCGCAGUGAAAAUGGAGAAAGUUGGUUCCUACGUACAAUUUGCAGCUUGGAUUUCCCUCAGAGGGAAACAUUUGAGGCUUAAAACAUUUGCCUCAUGAAAUCCACCUCUUGCUUUCAUUUGCCUGUCUGAGGUCUCUGGGACCUGAAAAGAGAAAAUUGGAGGUGAACCAGGAGAAAUUUGCCUCAUGCAAACCAUCUCCUACUUUUCUUUCUCUCCCUAAGGUCUUCAAGGCCUCAAAAGAGAAUAGUGGAGGUGAAACGAGAGAAAUGGACUGCGUGCCAAACCAUCUCCUACUUUCAUUUCUCUCCCUAAGGUCUUCAAGACCUGGAAAGAGAAUAGUUGAGGCUUAAAGGAAGAAAUUUUGCUUCAUGCAAACCAUCUCCUGCCUUCAUUUCUCUACUUAAGGUCUUCAUGACCCAAAAAGAGAAUAUCUGGGUUGAAAAGGGACAAGUUUUCUUCAUGCAAACAACCAUCCUGCUUCUGUUUUCUCUACCUCAGGGUUGGAAAAGGCCAUCUGUGGUCUUAAAAAAAGGAGUGAUUUGCUUCAUGCAGAGCACCUCCUGGGCAUUAGUCCAUUUCAGGUCUUCAAGGCCUGGGAAUCAAGAAGCAAGAGACAGCCUUUCAUUGGAAAAAGGAGAAAGUUGCUUCGUGUACCCUAUCUCCCGCUUUAAUUUCGUUGACCUUCAGGUCUUUAGGGCCAGAAAAGAGAAUAUUGGGGUUGAAAAAGAGAAAUUUUACUUCAUCGGGACAGAUCUCCUUUGUUUCUAUGCCACUACCCGUCACUUUUAAGGCAUUGUAAUUGAGGGUGAAUAGAGACUAUGCGACGUGCACGAGAAGCCAUUUGCUUGAUGGAGGAAAAACUCCCACUUAUCUCUCUCCCUAUGGUUUUCCAGGCCUGGAAAGAGAGAGUACAUGUGAGCUGGGAAAGGAGAGGUCUUGCUUCCUGCAAAAAUGUUAUUGUUUGUUACUCCACCUAAGGCUUUCAAGGCCCUGCAAUUGAGAAUUGAGGGAGAAUAUAGAUGGUGGAAAAGCAGAAACGUAACUCAGGUGAACAAACCCCUGCUUGAAUUUGUCUCCUAAGGUCUUCGAGACCUGAAAAGAGAAUUGAUGUGACAGACAGACAAAGGAGUAGUUUACUUCAUAUAAAAAAUCACCGGGUCAUUUUUCUACCUAGGGUCUUCAAGACCCAAAGAGAAAAUAGGUGAGCUGGCAAAGGACCUGGCAAGGACACAUCUCCUGUGCCUUCCUUAGUCCACCUCAGGCCUUCAAGGCCUGUUUAUAGUGAGAGUGGCUGGAGAUUAUCUGAGGUGAAAAAGGAGAAGUUUCCUUCAUGCAAAAGUUAUCCCGUUCACUUGUCUCCCGAAGGUCUUCAAGGCCUGAAGACAAAAUAUAUGAGCUGGGGAAGGAGAAAAUUGCUUCAUGCAAAACAUCUCCUGCUUUUCUCCACUUGAGGUCUUCAAGGCCUGCAGAAGAAUAUUGGAGGUAGGACAGGAGAAAUUUGCUUCAUGCAAAAAAAUCUCCACGUUUGAAUUUCUCUCACCUAAACUCUCUAAGGCCUACAUAGACAAUAUAGGAGGUGGAAGAGGAGUAAUGUGCUUCAUGCCAAAGGAAAAUCCCAUUUAUUUUUCUACCCAUGGCCCUUAAGGCCUGCACAGAGAACAUCUGAGAAGUUAAAGGAGACAUGUACCACAUGCAGAUUUCCUCUUUGGUUUUUUAACCUCACCCUUAACUUAAAAAGUCCUUGUGCUUUGUGACCGAGAACUCACAAUAUACUUGGAACGAAAAGGAGAAAUCUGCUCCCUGCAAAAUCUUCCCCCUGAUCUGGCCACCACAGGUCUUCCCCCAAGCCUUUGCAUUAGGAGAGAAAUGAAAAUGUUUGAGACAAAAGAAAAAGGUAAAGCUUGCUUCAUGCAGACAAACCUCCUGCUUAGUACACCACCUCUGGCCUUCAAGGCCCCUUCACUUAGACUUGAGAUGAAGAGGAGACACGUGCUUCGUGCCAGUAAAUCUGCGGCUUAUUUCUCCCCCUUAGGUCUCCAAUACCUUUUGAUAGUGGAGGUGGACUAGCCCGAGUACCAAACAGAGAGAAUAGAUUCCUACACCGUCUGUCUGGCUCCAGGCCUAAAUCUAGCUGUGCACCCUCCUGUGCUCCCUUCAGGCUCCACGCCUGGUCUUUAUGGCUUGGGUUGUUGGACAGAGAGCCAAGAGGUAGCAGUGGGGUGAAGAGCUUCAUGCUACUUCCCCCCCACCCCCCAGUCCCUGAAAGGGGUUUCCCUUUUAUCCUUCCACUCUGCCUGCUCUGCCACCUCAACCUUGGACAAAGUCACCAAACCACUCCUUGCCAUGGAACCAGAUCCUGCAUCCUAAGAGCUGAGAUGAUCUAAGUGUGGAAAUGAUGGAGAAAGGAACGGGGCCAGCCCGCUUGACUGGAGAAAGGCUCCAUUCCCGCCAUAGAACGGAGGAGGAAGGAAAAUCGGAGGACGGUUGGGUUUGGAGAAAAUCCGGCUACUGGUUAAGAGGAAAAGGCUCUGGACCCGAGGCUCGGGUCCAGGCUAGUGGAGGGCGAUCAAAGAAACGUGGAGGUGGAGGAGGGGGAGGAGGGAUUUUGUCUCAUGCCAAAUUCCAGAAAAGCUUUACUUCAUGUGAAGCGGCCUCCCCUCCAGGGCCUUCCUGCCUUCAAGACCUGAAAAGAAACUAUUUGAGUCCUAAAAGGGCUUCGUAGGCAACUUGGGACAUUUCUCUUGGGAGCCUUCUGGCUUUCUGAGCGGUUAGAACUGCUCCAUUUGGACCAUUUUGGCUCAUUUUCCACGUUCAGAAAUUGGUCCAGUUUUAGAGGGAAAUACCUUUCACAAGUCUAUAGUGUUAUGUCAGGAUUACAAUUCCAAACCUGUUAUGACGAAAGCACAACGGAGAUAACCCCUUGUCCCUCUCUAAAUCCUGGUUGACCCAGUCAAUGUUCAAUGGAAUGUUAUUUUGCUCUAAUUCAGGAGAUAGAAAACAACAAAAAGAUUCAUGCAAGCCACCACAGCAGCCUUUAAAAAGUCAAUAAAAUAGUUCAAUAAAAUAAAAAUAAACCUAAAAAGCAAAAGGAGCGGCACAAUAAAAUACAAUAAAAUAGUUUAAAAUUUAAUAUUAAAAUCACUGACAUAUAAAAUCCAUGACAUAUAAAAAUGCACAACACUCAUUCCCUUGGACGUUGACAUAUGGGAAAUCUUGGGAUAAAAGAGAAAGAAAAAAAAUCCCGAGUAUUCGACGACCAAAAAUGGGGAGGUUGAUCUCUUUGCCUUUUCUAUUGCGAUCAGAUGAAUGGCUUUAUGAGCGCCAACUGACUAUAGCACUAUAGACUUACAGCAAAGGAAACGUCAGCCCAGGUUCAAGGCAGUUUUAUUUCAUACACCUGGUUUCAGAAUGCCUGGCACAUUGAGUGUUUUGUCAUCAAGGUUUUGAAUCUGUGCAGAACUGGGGGGCUGCUACUCUGGACUGGAUCUCGCCUGACUGUCGGUAAGCACCGGGAGGAGCAGAGGUAAGCGCGGGCCGGACGGAAGGAAUUUACGCAUUUCGGGGAAGGGUGGGUUCGGGGGGAUGUCCUCAGGGUGGCCCUGGGCUCUGGAAAGUGUUGCCCUCUGGAAUGUCAGUGCAUUUGCACAUAGCUUAGUUUGUCCUCUGCAACAUCUGCCGGUAGGAUUUUUGUUGCCCACGUAGAGCAAAGAGAGAAUCGGCGUUCCUAGGUCUGGGGAGAGAAAAGGAGGCGACGGUGCUGCCGACCAAGAGGGAGAAUAGAGCACGCUACCGCGAUGCCCGGAGUGACGGCCGUUGUCCCCGCGUCCCUGUAUUGCCGCAGGGGGUUAGCGGGGGCAGCCCGCCUACCUCCAACAUUCGAGGACCACGGAUCUGCAGCCAAGCCAGCCCUACCUUCUCCCUGGACUCUCAACAGCUGGAGGGAAACAGUCCUGAAGCGCUCCUGUCUUCACCCCACGGGACCCGGACCCAUGCCAGCGCAGACCACCCACCUCCGCCCCACCCCAAUUCCCCACCAGCCCAGACCACCCAGCCCAGCCCCAGGCCCCACCAGCCCCGACCCAAGCCUCAGAAUGUUUUCUGGGCCUUGGGGCUGUUUCUGAGCCCCACUGAAAACACCCUGCCCCUUGCAGCGCCUUCAAGCUAGCCAAGAGGAGCAGAAACUGGUAGAGCAGGUGAGAACAACUUGCUGCUGCCACCACAAGCAGGCCCGAGGAGUUGCACCUGGGCCUACUUUACCCUGGCACAAACUCAAAGGGGAAAAGGCUUGAGGAGUGAAGAGCCAUCAAUUUUCACGUAUCCCCACUUGUACUCUGAACUCCUUCCAAAAUUUUGGGACCUAUGGAAUGGGCUUAAAAAAAUGAAGUCCUUGCUCAUGUUGUGGAAACCGUCCUGGUACCCCAUUUCCUUUUUCUACACUUGUGCCCUGGAAAAAAAAACCAAACCUGUUCCUUCCAAAAUACUGUUAAUCAAUAAAACUUGUUAAAAACCCA
Ornithorhynchus anatinus (platypus) is the source of this 10881-nucleotide RNA transcript. RefSeq lists it as uncharacterized. NCBI's taxonomy places the organism in Eukaryota, Metazoa, Chordata, Mammalia, Monotremata, Ornithorhynchidae. The record is from RefSeq and is a predicted model, not a curated record. The transcript is spliced from 8 exons.